UACGAAGGGGGCUAGCGUCGUUCGGAAUCACUGGGCGUAAAGCGCACGUAGGCGGUUCUUUAAGUCAGGGGUGAAAUCCCGAGGCUCAACCUCGGAACUGCCUUUGAUACUGGGGAUCUCGAGUCCGGGAGAGGUGAGUGGAACUGCGAGUGUAGAGGUGAAAUUCGUAGAUAUUCGCAAGAACACCAGUGGCGAAGGCGGCUCACUGGCCCGGAACUGACGCUGAGGUGCGAAAGCGUGGGGAGCAAACAGG
RNAcentral lists this ribosomal RNA (253 nucleotides) under uncultured bacterium. RNAcentral's name for it is "partial 16S ribosomal RNA". It matches the Rfam family "Bacterial small subunit ribosomal RNA", at positions 524 to 776 of the family's 1533-position model. The record is from RNAcentral.